Molecule: long non-coding RNA, 1654 nt
Organism: Alosa sapidissima (American shad)
Lineage: Eukaryota; Metazoa; Chordata; Actinopteri; Clupeiformes; Clupeidae
Exons: 2
Source: RefSeq, a predicted model, not a curated record
UACUGACUCAGACUGAGCUCCAUUCAAUCCCUGCCAGCCAACACAUUACUUCUCCUUUAAGGGUAUGUUGUCCUUUAGCCUACUUAGACAUUUUAUAAUAUGUACUACUAAUAAAAAGGCAUGGCGAUACAAACGGGAGCACAGAGAGAAGGAGUGUAAUUUGACACAUAAACAACUGUGUUUUCAUGAAAUUCUUAUGAUAAUUCAUAAGACUUAUGUUAUCCUUCACUUAGUAGAUAUUUUAAAGUAUUUAUAACUAAUAUAGUUACUAAUACGGUUGUUCGAAGGCAUGGGGACAUUUAAUCUGUGGUGCCACUACUGAAGGUGUUCUAGAAAGGCAUUCUUCUAAUAGGGGGAGGAGCCUCUUCUGUGCCUGCUACAGACGUCAUGUGGCACAGAUCGUUCUGAACAGCACUGAUACCUCUGCACCAGGAAUGCAGGGGAACCGGUUUCACACUGACCACAGGCAUAGUCAUAAGCCAUGUGAUGGCGUUCAUGGCAUUGACUUCUCUCUUGCACAUACACACACACACACACACAGCAGCACUGUAACCUGUGGAUCCUUCUACUGUAUUAGAAUAGGCUGAAUAUAUGUAUGUGUGCGUGUGCCCAUACAGCAGUGUGUUUUUGGCAGAAAGAAAUGGUAGGGUAAUCUGUGGAGGGGUAAACAGUAAACAUUCCCCUCUUAUCCUACAUCUGAUCAGGAUCAUGGAACAGUCUAGAACAAGACUGAAGACAAAGUGCUCACUCACCCAGACACGCUUUGUUUAUUUGGACCAUAAGGACAAUUUCUGAGAUGGGUGCUUCGGACUCCAGGCCAACUCUUUUCAGUAGACGUAAACAAGACAAGGGGCUUUCAUGGAAUGGCCUGAAGAGAGCGCUGUUUAAAAAACAGAAGCGGAAAAAGAACGUUCUGCGCAAGCUGUCUAUCGGCAACAACCGGAAAGGAUCCCAGUCUCUCAAGAGAUUCUCGGUCCCAAACAUCAGGAAAAGUUCACAGCCUUCGAAGAGAUUCUCCCUUUUUGAACUUUAAGGACAUUUUGGUUGGAGGAGGCCAUUUUAUAAAUAAAUCACUUGUAGGGAGUGUUAUGUUCAGAAUAGGUCUACAUCUUGUGCCAUGAUCCAAGCGGAGUAAGACCAAUCUGUUAAUUUAGGGACAGCCCAAAAUGUGGACGGACUUUUCAUUUUCUAAACCUUUCUGUUUCCAGCAAAAAAGGCCAACAACUCUGAACUACUGAUUGGCUAUAGUUUAUCUUUUCCCAGAAUAACUGUAAAGCUUUUGUACUUGUGGGUACGAGUGGUAGGGUUCUAAAUGUAGCCUAGAAAGAAAUUAAUCUGAGCACGGUGAACAAGCCUGCCCACCAACUGGUCACCAUGAUGUCCGAGUAGUCUGGUUCCUAGACUGCCACUGAUGUGACCGGGAAGACUGGUUUUUGUUUCGACAUGUUGUGGGUUUGUCUGCCUCUGUAAACCAAUUUUAUUAUUAAACAUAUAUACACAGCAAACAUUUUAGUGUCAUGAUUGUGUGAAUACAGAUAAACACCCUCAGAGAGAAAGCGAGAGAGAAAAAGGGAGAGAAUUGAAAAGUUUGAAGAAUUUUAUAAGAAGUUUUAGAAGACACUUAUUUCAAUUGAAAUAAAACUUUCUAACCAUG